RNAcentral lists this ribosomal RNA (1372 nucleotides) under uncultured bacterium. RNAcentral's name for it is "bacterial SSU rRNA". It matches the Rfam family "Bacterial small subunit ribosomal RNA", at positions 28 to 1381 of the family's 1533-position model. The record is from RNAcentral.
GAUGAACGCUGGCGGCGUGCCUAAUACAUGCAAGUCGAGCGAACGGACGAGAAGCUUGCUUCUCUGAUGUUAGCGGCGGACGGGUGAGUAACACGUGGAUAACCUACCUAUAAGACUGGGAUAACUUCGGGAAACCGGAGCUAAUACCGGAUAAUAUUUUGAACCGCAUGGUUCAAAAGUGAAAGACGGUCUUGCUGUCACUUAUAGAUGGAUCCGCGCUGCAUUAGCUAGUUGGUAAGGUAACGGCUUACCAAGGCAACGAUGCAUAGCCGACCUGAGAGGGUGAUCGGCCACACUGGAACUGAGACACGGUCCAGACUCCUACGGGAGGCAGCAGUAGGGAAUCUUCCGCAAUGGGCGAAAGCCUGACGGAGCAACGCCGCGUGAGUGAUGAAGGUCUUCGGAUCGUAAAACUCUGUUAUUAGGGAAGAACAUAUGUGUAAGUAACUGUGCACAUCUUGACGGUACCUAAUCAGAAAGCCACGGCUAACUACGUGCCAGCAGCCGCGGUAAUACGUAGGUGGCAAGCGUUAUCCGGAAUUAUUGGGCGUAAAGCGCGCGUAGGCGGUUUUUUAAGUCUGAUGUGAAAGCCCACGGCUCAACCGUGGAGGGUCAUUGGAAACUGGAAGACUUGAGUGCAGAAGAGGAAAGUGGAAUUCCAUGUGUAGCGGUGAAAUGCGCAGAGAUAUGGAGGAACACCAGUGGCGAAGGCGACUUUCUGGUCUGUAACUGACGCUGAUGUGCGAAAGCGUGGGGAUCAAACAGGAUUAGAUACCCUGGUAGUCCACGCCGUAAACGAUGAGUGCUAAGUGUUAGGGGGUUUCCGCCCCUUAGUGCUGCAGCUAACGCAUUAAGCACUCCGCCUGGGGAGUACGACCGCAAGGUUGAAACUCAAAGGAAUUGACGGGGACCCGCACAAGCGGUGGAGCAUGUGGUUUAAUUCGAAGCAACGCGAAGAACCUUACCAAAUCUUGACAUCCUUUGACAACUCUAGAGAUAGAGCCUUCCCCUUCGGGGGACAAAGUGACAGGUGGUGCAUGGUUGUCGUCAGCUCGCGUCGUGAGAUGUUGGGUUAAGUCCCGCAACGAGCGCAACCCUUAAGCUUAGUUGCCAUCAUUAAGUUGGGCACUCUAAGUUGACUGCCGGUGACAAACCGGAGGAAGGUGGGGAUGACGUCAAAUCAUCAUGCCCCUUAUGAUUUGGGCUACACACGUGCUACAAUGGACAAUACAAAGGGCAGCGAAACCGCGAGGUCAAGCAAAUCCCAUAAAGUUGUUCUCAGUUCGGAUUGUAGUCUGCAACUCGACUACAUGAAGCUGGAAUCGCUAGUAAUCGUAGAUCAGCAUGCUACGGUGAAUACGUUCCCGGGUCU